GUCAGUGUGGCAUAGUGGUUUGAGUGUCGGACUACAACUCUGGAGGCCAGAGUUUGAUUCCCAGCUUGGCCA
This is a non-coding RNA of Phrynosoma platyrhinos (Desert horned lizard), 72 nucleotides long. The record is from the annotation of a GenBank genome assembly. NCBI's taxonomy places the organism in Eukaryota, Metazoa, Chordata, Lepidosauria, Squamata, Phrynosomatidae.